Molecule: ribosomal RNA, 460 nt
Filed under: uncultured bacterium
Lineage: Bacteria
Description: partial 16S ribosomal RNA
Rfam family: Bacterial small subunit ribosomal RNA
Source: RNAcentral
CCUACGGGAGGCAGCAGUGAGGAAUAUUGGUCAAUGGGCGGGAGCCUGAACCAGCCAAGUCGCGUGAGGGAAGACGGUCCUAUGGAUUGUAAACCUCUUUAGGCGGGGAGCAAUGCCGGGCACGCGUGCACGGAGGGAGAGUACCCGCAGACUAAGCAUCGGCUAACUCCGUGCCAGCAGCCGCGGUAAUACGGGGGAUGCGAGCGUUAUCCGGGUGUAUUGGGUUUAAAGGGUGCGUAGGCGGAUUUUUAAGUCAGCGGUAAAAUGUUCGGGCUCAACCCGGGCCGGCCGUUGAAACUGGGGAUCUUGAGUGGGCGAGAAGUAUGCGGAAUGCGUGGUGUAGCGGUGAAAUGCAGAGAUAUCACGCAGAACUCCGAUUGCGAAGGCAGCAUACCGGCGCCCGACUGACGCUGAGGCACGAAAGCGUGGGGAUCGAACAGGAUUAGAUACCCGAGUAGUC